UCGCCCUCGCUCUCUUGCUCUCGCUCUCUCCUACCGCCGGCGGAACCAAAAGGAAGCCCUCCGUCCAGCGCUGGCCGCGGCGGCGGCGGCGGCGCAGCAGCCCGCGCCUUCUCGCCUCCUGCACUCCAAGAUUCGUGCUCCCGAUGACGGCCAUGGACCUGGGCUACAUUGCUAGCGCUGCCGACAUCGUUUCGAUUCGUUCCGAUCUGUCCGUGGCGUUUUCGUAUGUCUUUGCCUGGUGAUGAUGGUGUCCAUUUCUUGGGGAUGUUGCUUGAUCCGUGUUGGUGAGUGUAGGUAGAAACGGACGUGAAUCUGAAAUGUUCAAGAUGUUGGUUGGGACCUUGAUGAUAUGAAAUUGGAGAUCUGUUGGCCGGUGGGAUGUUAUUUUGUCACCUUACUCAUAUUUGGUACAAAAUUGAUGUUGUGGGUGUGGGCUGGCACCAACCAUGGCAUGGCUAGCUUUGGUUGGAAUGCCAAUGCCAAGUCAAACUGCUUCUACGGUUUCUGCUACCCGGUUUGCCAGCUCUUACCACUUGGCUUGCUGUUCAUGCAUGUCUGUGAUAUUGCUAUAUGCACUCCCACUUGGCUUGCUGUUCAUGCAUGUCUGUGAUAUUGCUAUAUGCACUGAGGCACUAAAUUUAUGCAGAGGACAGAGAUAUUUAUAUCUUA
Aegilops tauschii subsp. strangulata is the source of this 669-nucleotide long non-coding RNA. RefSeq lists it as uncharacterized. The record is from RefSeq and is a predicted model, not a curated record. NCBI's taxonomy places the organism in Eukaryota, Viridiplantae, Streptophyta, Magnoliopsida, Poales, Poaceae.